UCUACUACUCAAGAUCCUUCGUCUGUGGUUGUUCCCAUUCCAGCGAGUCAAAUAUCAAAAUCAAACGCUGCUGCUUCGGCUUCUGCUUCUCCAUUUAUACGCUGCUCGCAGCAUUUAAUACGAAUCAAAAACUACAAAUACCACCAUAGCACUGGGCUUCACCUCCACUGUAGCUACCCCUCAGUAUUCUUAGAUGUUCAUAGGCCGUCAGCAACUGUUGAUCACAGAAAAGAUGGAUCUUACCAAAUGGAGAUAAUAUUGGAAUUUCUGGGCAAGAACAAGUGCUCACAAAAAUGACCGUAAGCAAAUAUUGGUUGGGUUUCUGUUAAGCUUCAGGUAAAGAUGUUUCCCAAGGCUGAUGACUUUCAGAAUCAGGCUCAGCCUCUUGAAGAUCUUGCAAGAAGGUUUAAAUAUAAUGUAUUUUACGAUGCUGACUCUUCCCAUAUAUAUUUAGUUAUGUAGAUUUUCUCUUCAUGUGUCUAUUUUUACUUGCGGGUCUGUUGAGGUUACUCUUUACCCCUAAAGUUUUAGCCUUUUGUUUGUGAUAGUUCUAUCAGAAGUUGUUGGUCACCUGAACUAUCAUUGUGGCUCGCUAGGUCAUACUUUGUUGGGGUCCUUACCAUGUUCUUAAUUUUUGUUGGUCCUGUCCUUUUAGAUCUUUGGUUUUAAUGUCUCCAGCGAUCCUUUGCCUUCGUUUAUGAAGGAAGUGUUGUGGCUUUUGACUGAGAGUAAAUGUAAUUUCUAUUAGUUUCA
Brassica oleracea var. oleracea is the source of this 753-nucleotide long non-coding RNA. RefSeq lists it as uncharacterized. Lineage: Eukaryota; Viridiplantae; Streptophyta; Magnoliopsida; Brassicales; Brassicaceae. The transcript has 3 exons. The record is from RefSeq and is a predicted model, not a curated record.